UAUUGAUGUAUCAUUGUUUCAAAGUAUCAAAAAUGCGGUGGCAACCAAAAUAACAAUCUCAAAGAUUAAUUGAACUAAGUGAUGGAAGUUCUCUCUUAUCGGGUGGUAUCCCAGGGGCAUAAGCCUAUCAUGGGUCGAUCCCUAUUUAUGUGUUUAUGGGUGGUAUCCCAGGGGCAUAAGCCUAUCAUGGGUCGAUCCCAG
Molecule: long non-coding RNA, 201 nt
Filed under: Capsicum annuum
Lineage: Eukaryota; Viridiplantae; Streptophyta; Magnoliopsida; Solanales; Solanaceae
Description: long non-coding RNA (CANN_LNC006238)
Source: RNAcentral